CCUACGGGGGGCAGCAGUAGGGAAUCUUCCACAAUGGGCGAAAGCCUGAUGGAGCAACGCCGCGUGGGUGAAGAAUGUCUUCGGAUCGUAAAACCCUGUUGUUAGAGAAGAAAGUGCGUGAGAGUAACUGUUCACGUUUCGACGGUAUCUAACCAGAAAGCCACGGCUAACUACGUGCCAGCAGCCGCGGUAAUACGUAGUUGGCAAGCGGUAUCAGGAUUUAUUGGUCGUAAAGCGAACGCAUGUGGUCUUUUAAGUCUGAUUUUAAA
This 269-nucleotide ribosomal RNA is filed under the name uncultured bacterium. RNAcentral describes it as "partial 16S ribosomal RNA". It matches the Rfam family "Bacterial small subunit ribosomal RNA", at positions 338 to 599 of the family's 1533-position model. The record is from RNAcentral.